AACGAACGCUGGCGGCAUGCCUAACACAUGCAAGUCGAACGAUUGUCUUCGGAUCAUAGUGGCGCACGGGUGCGUAACGCGGGGUAAUCUGCCCGUGGGUUCGGAAUAACAGUUGGAAACGACUGCUAAUACCGGAUGAUGUCGAUAAGACCAAAGAUUUAUCGCCCGAGGAUGAGCCCGCGUCGGAUUAUCUAGUUGGUGGGGUAAAGGCCUACCAAGGCGACGAUCCGUAGCUGGUCUGAGAGGAUGAUCAGCCACACUGGGACUGAGCCACGGCCCAGACUCCUACGGGAGGCAGCAGUGGGGAAUAUUGGACAAUGGGCGGAAGCCUGAUCCAGCACUGACGCGUGAGUGAUGAAGGCCUUAGGGUUGUAAAGCUCUUUUACCCGGGAAGAUAAUGACUGUACCGGGAGAAUAAGCCCCGGCUAACUCCGUG
Molecule: ribosomal RNA, 436 nt
Filed under: uncultured bacterium
Lineage: Bacteria
Description: partial 16S ribosomal RNA
Rfam family: Bacterial small subunit ribosomal RNA
Source: RNAcentral